This 346-nucleotide unclassified non-coding RNA is filed under the name air metagenome. RNAcentral describes it as "partial contains small subunit ribosomal RNA, internal transcribed spacer 1, and 5.8S ribosomal RNA". The stretch from base 1 to 46 matches the Rfam family "Eukaryotic small subunit ribosomal RNA", at positions 1786 to 1831 of the family's 1831-position model. The record is from RNAcentral.
AAGUCGUAACAAGGUUUCCGUAGGUGAACCUGCGGAAGGAUCAUUAUUGAAUACGAUUGGUACUGAUGCUGGCUACUUUGUAGCAUGUGCUCGUCCAUCUAUUUAUCUUCUCUUGUGCACAUUUUGUGAUUCUGGAUUGAUAUGCUGGUUCUCUUAAUUGAGUUCUGGCGCCUCGUCUUUGGGCGGAUUGGGGAUUGAGUUCACUUGAUUGUGUUCACUCUCCCUGUUAUCAUCUGGUCUCAUGUUUUCAUAUACCCUUAUAAAGUUACAGAAUGUCUAUUAUCGAUUGCGUUAACUCGUGAUCUUUAAACCUAUACAACUUUCAGCAACGGAUCUCUUGGCUCUC